ACUGCGUGUGAUGUGAGAAGGAAACUUCUGAAAUACUACUGGGAAAAAGCAUGAGGCACAACGAAAGGCAAUGAGCAAGGUCUCAGGAAUUCCAGAUCACGAUCCACUCACCUAUGAAAUGAGAAAUGGUGGGGAAGGAAGAAAAAAGAUCUGCUUCGAGUGAAUCUGGAACAGAUACAUGGAGGGAUUCACCUUCUUCUGCAAACCUGGAAAAAGAGCACACAGCCCACAUGGAGCAGAGAAGCAGCCUUGACAAGAUGUGUUUGUUGGAGGCAAGGGCUAAAUGAAAUCAUCUGCCACCUGCAGAGCUGCAGGUGCCCUGGAGUAGCACAGUACAAACCUGCAGCUGCAUCCGGUGUCGGCAUCGUGGAGGCUGAGAAGGAAAACACACGAGUAACCAACAGCGCCUCGACAUCCCUAAGGGGUGCUUGGAUACUUGGAUACUGCUCCAGGAGCACAAAGGAGCAGCUGAAAAAUUUAAACCAUCACCAACAGCUUCCACUGAGGGGCAAGGAGGUGCUCUGUGUCCAGCUGAGUCUGAGGGGGAAGCUCAGCAGUGAGUUGCCCUUCACAGAGCAGCACAAAGCGAAUCGAUUUUCUCUCCUGUGCUGUAGCAUCCGCAGGGUAGCACUGUGUCAUGGGCUAUUCCCUGGGAACCAGAAGGGAACAAUGGGAACAAAAUGCACCUUGGAAUGAAAUGCUCUGUUGUCCAGCACCUUCUUAACCUGCUCUGCCUGUCCUAAAUGUGAAAUAAAGGGUAAUUGUUUCUCAUAAGCUAAGUAGAUUGAUGUUUAUAGGUGAAACCGAGUAAUGAGGACACCAGUGUUUGAGUGGAUGGCUGUUG
Corvus hawaiiensis (hawaiian crow) is the source of this 844-nucleotide long non-coding RNA. RefSeq lists it as uncharacterized. The transcript has 3 exons. NCBI's taxonomy places the organism in Eukaryota, Metazoa, Chordata, Aves, Passeriformes, Corvidae. The record is from RefSeq and is a predicted model, not a curated record.